UCAAGCUCGUAAGAGUGCAUGGUGGAUGCCUAGGCGUCCAGAGGCGAAGAAAGACGUGGCAGCCUGCGAUAAGCUCCGGGGAGUUGGCAAACAAGCAUUGAUCCGGAGAUGUCUGAAUGGGGCAACCCCGUAUCAUCGAAUAGAUGGUACGACCGACACAUGAAUUCAUAGUGUGUCGGAGCCGACCCAGGGAAGUGAAACAUCUCAGUACCUGGUGGAAAGGAAAUCAACCGAGACUCCGUCAGUAGCGGCGAGCGAACGCGGACAUAGCCCAAACCGGACUUCGGUCCGGGGUUGCGGGUCCUCGAGGAGUUACAAAGGCGCGAUCAGCAGAAUGGUCUGGAAAGGCCGGCGACACAGGGUGACAGCCCCGUACGCGACGAUCGUUGCCCUCCGUUGAGAGGAUACCCAGAGUAGCACGGAUGUCGUGAAACUCCGUGUGAAGCCGGGGGGCCCACCCUCCAAGGCUAAGUACUCCUGGACGACCGAUAGUGAACAAGUAUGGCGACUGAAAGGUGAAAAGAACCGCUAUAAGCGGAGUUAAAAGAACCUGAAACCAUGCAUUUACAAGCAGUCAAAGACUUAUGUCUCUCUUCGGAGAGACCAGGUCGAUGGCGUACCUUUUGCAUAAUGGACCGGCGAGUUACUCCUCUGUGGCAAGGCUAAACCGCUCACGCGGUGGAGCCGUAGCGAAAGCGAGUCUGAAUAGGGCGAAAUGAGUCGCAGGGGGUAGACCCGAAGCUGAGUGAUCUACCCAUGGGCAGAAUGAAGCGCCCCUAACCGGGCGCGGAGGUUCGAAGCCGUGAACGUUGAAAAGUUCUGGCAUGACCUGUGGGGGGGAGUAAAAGUCUAAUCAAACUCAGGGAUAGCUGGUUCUCCCCGAAAAUGCUUUAGGGCAUGUCUCGAGUCACUACGUGAUGGGGGUAGAGCUACUGAAUGGAUCGCGGGGCCCACCAGGCUACUGCCUCCAAUCAAACUCCGAAUACCAUCACGGUUACCUCGGGAGAAAGACUGUGGGUGAUAAUGUCCACGGUCAAAAGGGAAACAACCCAGACCGCCAGCUAAGGCCCCCAAUUGCAUCUGAGUGCAUAAGGAAGUUGGAUUUCUGAGACAGCGGGGAUGUUGGCUUAGAAGCAGCCACCAUUUAAAAAGUGCGUAAUAGCUUACCCGUCGAGAAAUCCGGCACCGAUAAUGAACGGGACUAAGAUGCAAGCCGAAGCUGCGGGAACUAAGAAUGACGAAUUCCGAAUUACGAAUGACCAAACGCGGUCCGCGCCGCGCAUUGAGCGUUUCGCAAUUCGUAAUUUGAGAUUCGUCAUUCUUGGUUCGGUAGGGGAGCGUUGAUAGGCAGAUACAAGGCGUACCGUAAGGAGCGCUACAGGGCCUAUCAAGUGAGUAUGCCGGUUUAAGUAACGAUUAAGAGGGUGAAAAUCCCUCUCGCCGUAAGCCUAAGGUUUCCUGGGGAAGGUAAAUCCGCCCAGGGUUAGGCGGCACCUAAGGCGAGGCCGAAAGGCGUAGCCGAUGGAUUGCAGGUUAAUAUUCCUGCCCUCCGCAUGGCGGUUGACGUGAAGGUGCGCUUCUUCAAGAUGCAGCCCACGAUUAGGUUCGAGGGUUCCCGAAAGGGCGAAGCCGAUUUGUUGCUGAAGUGCGUGGAGAAGGAGCCGAGAAAAGCCUUUGCUGACAAGAUGCGGAUCCGUACUAAAACUGACACAGGUAGGCGAGGAGAGUAUCCUCAGGCGCUCGAGAGAACGGUUCUUAAGGAACUAGGCAAAUUCACCCCGUAACUCCGGGAGAAGGGGUCCCUCCUGCCUGUAGCAAUACAAGCAGAGGGCGCAGAGAAACGGCAGUGGCGACUGUUUAUCAAAAACACAGGUCUCUGCUAACUCGUAAGAGGAUGUAUAGAGACUGACGCCUGCUCGGUGCGGGAAUGUUAAGGAAGGCGGUCAAGGGGUUCGCCCCUGAAGCUGGCGACCGAAGCACCCGUAAACGGCGGCCCUAACUAUGAGGGUCCUAAGGUAGCGAAGUUCCUUGUCGGGUAAGUUCCGACGCGCAUGAAUGGCGAAACGACUGCUGCACUGUCUCAAGAACCGACUCGGUGAAAUAGGACUUGUGGUGAAGAUACCACAUACCCGUGGCAAGACGGAAAGACCCCGUGAACCUUCACUGUAGCCUGGUAUUGGAGCCGGCUAACACAUGCGUAGGAUAGGUGGGAGGCGUUGAUCCAGCGGUUUCGGCUGCUGGGGAGCCAUCGUUGAAAUACCACCCUUGUAUUAAUCGUCUCCUCACCCCGACCCGUGAAUCCGGGCGGGGGACAAUGCUAGGUGGGCAGUUUGACUGGGGCGGUCUCCUCCUAAAAAGUACCGGAGGAGCGCAAAGGUUGGCUCAGUGCGGUUGGCAAUCGCACGUAGAGCGCAAGGGUAUAAGCCAGCUUAACUGCAAGUUAUACAGAACGAGCAGAUGCGAAAGCAGGCCCUAGUGAUCCGGUAGUCCCGCGUGGAAGGGCUAUCGCUCAUCGGACAAAAGGUACUCCGGGGAUAACAGGCUGAUCUCCACCGAGCGUCCAUAGCGGCGUGGAGGUUUGGCACCUCGAUGUCGGCCCAUCGCAUCCUGGGGCUGAAGGCGGUCCCAAGGGUUCGGCUGUUCGCCGAUUAAAGCGGUACGCGAGCUGGGUUCAGACCGGCGUGAGCCAGGUCGGUCCCUAUCUGUCAUGGGCGCACCACACUUGACGGGAGACAACCCUAGUACGAGAGGAUUGGGUUGUAGCAAUCUCUAGUGCACCUGUUGUCCUGCUAAGGGCAUCGCAGGGUAGCUACAUUGCGAAAGGAUAAACGCUGAAAGCAUCUAAGCGUGAAGCCCCCCCGAAGAUAAGGUGUGGAUGUCUCUUCGGAGACGAAAGACCCCUCGAAGACUACGAGGUUGAUAGGCCAGAGGUGUACGAGCCGAAAGGCUUUAAGCUGACUGGUACUAACGGUCGAUUGCUUGAUCAC
Molecule: ribosomal RNA, 2987 nt
Filed under: groundwater metagenome
Description: bacterial LSU rRNA
Rfam family: Bacterial large subunit ribosomal RNA
Source: RNAcentral